GAUGAAGAACGUAGCGAAAUGCGAUAAGUAAUGCGAAUUGCAGAAUUCAGUGAAUCAUCGAAUCUUUGAACGCACAUUGCGCCCCCUGGUAUUCCGGGGGGCAUGCCUGUCCGAGCGUCAUUACAACCCUCAAGCUCAGCUUGGUAUUGGGCCCCGCCGCUCCGGCGGGCCCUAAAGUCAGUGGCGGUGCCGUCCGGCUCCGAGCGUAGUAAUUCUUCUCGCUCUGGAGGUCCGGUCGUGUGCUCGCCAGCAACCCCCAAUUUUUUUCAGGUUGACCUCGGAUCAGGUAGGGAUACCCGCUGAACUUAAGCAUAUCAAUAAGCGGAGGA
Molecule: unclassified non-coding RNA, 329 nt
Filed under: soil metagenome
Description: partial contains 5.8S ribosomal RNA, internal transcribed spacer 2, and large subunit ribosomal RNA
Rfam family: 5.8S ribosomal RNA (bases 1-120)
Source: RNAcentral